This 496-nucleotide ribosomal RNA is filed under the name uncultured bacterium. Its description in RNAcentral is "partial 16S ribosomal RNA". It matches the Rfam family "Bacterial small subunit ribosomal RNA", at positions 29 to 523 of the family's 1533-position model. The record is from RNAcentral.
AUUGAACGCUGGCGGCAUGCUUUACACAUGCAAGUCGAACGGUAGAGGGGGCAACCCCUUGAGAGUGGCGAACGGGUGAGUAAUGCAUCGGAACGUGCCCAGUCGUGGGGGAUAACGCAGCGAAAGCUGUGCUAAUACCGCAUACGAUCUCUGGAUGAAAGCGGGGGACCGAAAGGCCUCGCGCGAUUGGAGCGGCCGAUGUCAGAUUAGGUAGUUGGUGGGGUAAAGGCUCACCAAGCCAACGAUCUGUAGCUGGUCUGAGAGGACGACCAGCCAUACGGGGACUGAGACACGGCCCAGACUCCUACGGGAGGCAGCAGUGGGGAAUUUUGGACAAUGGGCGCAAGCCUGAUCCAGCAAUGCCGCGUGCAGGAAGAAGGCCUUCGGGUUGUAAACUGCUUUUGUACGGAACGAAAAGGUCUGGGUUAAUACCCUGGGCACAUGACGGUACCGUAAGAAUAAGCACCGGCUAACUACGUGCCAGCCGCCGCGGUAA